GGACAGAACACUGAAGGAAGAGAAGAAAUGGGAUCUCAGAAGAGAUGUCACAAAUUUCCUACAUCCCAAAAAGAUGACAUUUUCAUAUAAACCAGAAAUAUGCCACUUUGUUCGAGAGAAACAGUAGGAUCUACUACUACCAGAUUUCUGCAGAUCAAGAUCGCCUAUAAGCAGCGGGUCAUAUUUAGAAAGUACAAACAUCAUUUACAGCACUCCCAUUUGGGUCAGAUUGCUGAAUAUAGAGUCAAUGGUGAAAUGCUGACUGCAAGGGCUUGUACAAGUGAAAAUUAUAGUACAUAUUUUUUGUUGCUCAUGUAUAAUACUUGCAUGCACACACUUUUAAAGAACUGAUAUAUAUCACAAUUCUAAUAAAGCCUGUUAAGUGUUAUGUGAGGCUCUGGGA
This 403-nucleotide long non-coding RNA is filed under the name Anser brachyrhynchus (Pink-footed goose). Its description in RNAcentral is "lncRNA (ENSABRG00000014393.1)". The record is from RNAcentral. Lineage: Eukaryota; Metazoa; Chordata; Aves; Anseriformes; Anatidae.